GCACUGGUCGCCCGCGGGAGGUUCGGGUGGGGAGGAGGCGUCCCCUCCCGGUUUGCUCGCGGGCGGCUGAGGGGACGCUUGGGAGGGGGUGAGCUGGGGGAUCCCCUUGCUGCAGAGACUGCGAACCCGAGCUUCAAAAUAGUCAUUUCUCACCCGUGCGCUCCACGGGGCUGUCCUCUGGGCGGUGGCUGGGUGUGAGGAAGCGGGAGUGACCCGGAGGCCGGGCCCCUGCUCCGGCCACUUGUUGCUUUCCCGCAGCCUUGGGACCGAAACUUUCAUCUACAUAAGGGGAUUAAAAAUAAUGAAGCCCCUGGCAAGUUGGCCGCUGCGCCUUCCUGGAGAUGGUGAUGAAGGCGAGGACCUUAGGACCGCACAGAGCCCAGGUCUGGCACGAAGAGGCCACGGCAGAGGAAAGCCAGGAACUGGGUCAGAACAGAACAGCUUCGUGGGUUUAAAUCAUUUGAAAUGGAAAAGUCAUAUCCAAGUGGAGAAAUAAUGACUUUUACGCUAAUCCCACCCUGUUGCCACAUGAACCCACACAUUAACGCAGAGGAGACCGUGACACAAAAGGUCCGCGGUGCCUGGCAGGGGAGUCAUCUCGCAUUCAUCUCACAUGUAGCCACAGCACAGAGGACUGGGGCUACAUGGAGAAUGGCUCAUCUCUCAGGCAACCUUUAAUAAGAGGACCCUGCAGAAGUGACUCCCAAAAGCAAGCGACCGCAUCUCACUGUCCGUACCACACAAUAUCCCACUUUCAUUCUACAAAGCUGAACGGCCAACACUUUUCCCUGU
Molecule: long non-coding RNA, 792 nt
Filed under: Fukomys damarensis (Damara mole-rat)
Lineage: Eukaryota; Metazoa; Chordata; Mammalia; Rodentia; Bathyergidae
Description: lncRNA (ENSFDAG00000022350.1)
Source: RNAcentral